RNAcentral lists this ribosomal RNA (1476 nucleotides) under uncultured Bordetella sp. RNAcentral describes it as "partial 16S-23S ribosomal RNA intergenic spacer". It matches the Rfam family "Bacterial small subunit ribosomal RNA". Lineage: Bacteria; Pseudomonadati; Pseudomonadota; Betaproteobacteria; Burkholderiales; Alcaligenaceae. The record is from RNAcentral.
GUUCGAUUCUGGCUCAAAUUGAACGCUGGCGGGAUACUUUACAUGCAAGUCGAACGGCAGCACGGACUUCCGGUCUGGUGGCGAGUGGCGAACGGGUGAGUAAUGUAUCGGAACGUGCCUAAUGUGGCGGGGGAUAACUACGCGAAAGCGUAGCUAAUACCGCAUACGCCCUUCGAAGCGGGGACGGGCCUCGCACUAUUAGAAGCGGCCGAUAUCAGUUAGCUGGACGAAGGGUGGGGUAACGGCUCACCAAGGCGACGAUCCGUAGCGCUGGUUUGAGAGGACGACCAGCCACACUGGGACUGAGACACGGCCCAGACUCUACGGGAGGCAGCAGUGGGGAAUUUUUGGACAAUGGGGAAACCUGAUCCAGCCAUCCCGCGUAUUGAUGACCUUCGGGUUGUAAAGCACUUUUGGCAGGAAAGAAGCGGCACGGGAUAAUGCCCCGUGCAAGCGGCGAUACUGCAGAAUAAGCACCGGCUAACUACGUGCCAGCAGCCGCGGUAAUACGUAGGUGCAAGCGUUAAUCGGAAUUACUGGGCGUAAAGCGUGCGCAGGCGGUUCGGAAGAAAGAUGUGAAAUCCCAGAGCUUAACUUUGGAACUGCAUUUUAACUACCGAGCUAGAGUGUGUCAGAGGGAGGAGUGGAAUUCCGCGUGUAGCAGUGAAAUGCGUAGAUAUGCGGAGGAACACCGAUAGCGAAGGCAGCCUCCUGGGAUAACACUGACGCUCAUGCACGAAAGCGUGGGAGCAAACAGGAUUAGAUACCCUGGUAGUCCGCCCUAAACGUGUAGCUAAGCUGUUGGAGCCUUUAAGGCCUUGAUGGCCGCAGCUAACGCAUCAAAGUUCGACUUACGCCACAAAGUCACGAAGUCGCAAAUUCAAACUCAAAGGAAUUGACGGGGACCCGCACAAGCGGUGGAUGAUGUGGAUUAAUUCGAUGCAACGCGAAAAACCUUACCUACAUGACAUGUCUGGAAUCCCGAGAUUUGGGAGUGCUCGCAAGAGAACCGGAACACAGGGUGCCAUGGCUGUCGUCAGCUCGUGUCGUGAGAUGUUGGGUUAAGUCCCGCAACGAGCGCAACCCUUGUCGGUAGUUGCUACGAAAGGGCACUCUAAAUGAGACUGCCGGUGACAAACUGGAGAAAGUCAGGAUUCGCUAUCGAAGUCCUCAUGGCCCUUAUGGGUAGGGCUUCACACGUCAUACAAUGGUCAGGACAGAGGGUCGCCAACCCGCGAGGAGCCAAUCCCCAGAAACCCGAUCGUAGUCCGGAUCGCAGUCUGCAACUCGACCGCAUUGAGAUCGGAAUCGCUAGUAAUCGCGGAUCAGCAUGUCGCGGUGAAUACGUUCCCGGGUCUUGUACACACCGCCCGUCACACCAUGGGAGUGGGUUUUUUACCAAGAAGUAGUUAGCUAACCGUAAGGGCGAUUACCACGGUAGGAUUCGCGGCUGGGGUGAAGUCGUAACAAGGUGAC